UACGUAGGGCGCAAGCGUUGUCCGGAAUUAUUGGGCGUAAAGAGCUCGUAGGCGGCUUGUCACGUCGGGUGUGAAAGCCCGGGGCUUAACCCCGGGUCUGCAUUCGAUACGGGCUAGCUAGAGUGUGGUAGGGGAGAUCGGAAUUCCUGGUGUAGCGGUGAAAUGCGCAGAUAUCGGGAAGAACACCCGUGGCUAAGGCGGCUCUCUAGUACGGUACUGACGCUGAGACGCGAAAGCGUGGGGAGCGAACAGG
Molecule: ribosomal RNA, 253 nt
Filed under: uncultured bacterium
Lineage: Bacteria
Description: partial 16S ribosomal RNA
Rfam family: Bacterial small subunit ribosomal RNA
Source: RNAcentral